CGUCUAUAUACGUAUAGCAUAUCAAUAAGCGGAGGAAAAGAAACUAACUAGGAUUCCCUUAGUAACGGCGAGUGAAGCGGGAAGAGCUCAAAUUUGAAAUCUUCAAGGUUCUACCUUGACGAAUUGUAGUUUAAAGAAGUGUUUUCUGUUGGAAUUUUGGUAAAAGUUCUUUGGAAAUAGGACAUCAUAGAGGGUGAGAAUCCCGUAUUUGACCAUUAUUUCCAACUUUGUGAUACACUUUCGAAGAGUCGGAUUGUUUGGGAAUGCAGUCCAAAAUGGGUGGUAAAUUUCAUCUAAAGCUAAAUACUGGCGAGAGACCGAUAGCGAACAAGUACCGUGAGGGAAAGAUGAAAAGAACUUUGAAAAGAGAGUUAAACAGUACGUGAAAUUGUCAAAAGGGAAGCGUUUGACACCAGUGUUGUUUUCUCGAAAAUCAAUUAAAAAUGGUGGGAUUCUGUGUUGUAUUGACUUUAUCAGCUUUCUGCACUUUUUUCCUAUCUUUUUUAAUGCACUUUUCGUUUACCAAGUCAACAUCAAUUUCUUUUGUUGUAAAAGAGUCAUUGGAAGGUGGCUUUCUUUUCGGAGAAAGUGUUUAUAGCCUUUGCCUCUGCAGUCGGAGAGAUUGAGGUCUGCAGCGUAGAUCCUUCGGGGUUAGAUAGCAUUUGUGCUAAGUUAUAGCCUUUCAUAGACAACUUGUUGACUAUGAUCAGUCAUGUAGCUUACUCGCUUAUGCUAUUUUACCUACGCUUAGGAUGUUGACGAUCAGCUGAGCGCG
This 775-nucleotide ribosomal RNA is filed under the name uncultured Neocallimastigales. RNAcentral describes it as "partial large subunit ribosomal RNA". It matches the Rfam family "Eukaryotic large subunit ribosomal RNA", at positions 26 to 627 of the family's 3401-position model. The record is from RNAcentral. Lineage: Eukaryota; Fungi; Neocallimastigomycota; Neocallimastigomycetes; Neocallimastigales.